GAGUUUGAUCAUGGCUCAGAACGUACGCUGGCGGCACGCCUAACACAUGCAAGUCGAACGAAGUAGCAAUACUUAGUGGCAGACGGGUGAGUAACAUGUAGGUAUCUGCCCUUUGGCCUGGAAUAACACGAGGAAACUUGUGCUAAUACCGGAUAAGUCUUUACGGAGAAAGCUUUAUGCACCAUUGGAUGAGCCUGCACUUGAUUAGUUUGUUGGUGGGGUAAAAGCUUACCAAGGCAACGAUCAAUAGCUGAUUUGAGAGGAUGAUCAGCCACACUGGGACUGAGACACGGCCCAGACUCCUACGGGAGGCAGCAGUGGGGAAUCUUGCACAAUGGAGGAAGCUCUGAUGCAGCGAUGCCGCGUGAGUGAAGAAGGCCCUUGGGUUGUACAGCUCUUUCGUCGGGGAAGAAAAUGACUGUACCCGAAUAAGAAGGUCCGGCUAACUUCGUGCCAGCAGCCGCGGUAAUACGAAGGGACCUAGCGUAGUUCGGAAUUACUGGGCUUAAAGAGUUCGUAGGUGGUUGAAAAAGUUAGUGGUGAAAUCCCAGAGCUUAACUCUGGAACUGCCAUUAAAACUUUUCAGCUAGAGUAUGAUAGAGGAAAGCAGAAUUUCUAGUGUAGAGGUGAAAUUCGUAGAUAUUAGAAAGAAUACCAAUUGCGAAGGCAGCUUUCUGGAUCAUUACUGACACUGAGGAACGAAAGCAUGGGUAGCGAAGAGGAUUAGAUACCCUCGUAGUCCAUGCCGUAAACGAUGUGUGUUAGACGUUGGAAAUUUAUUUUCAGUGUCGCAGGGAAACCGAUAAACACACCGCCUGGGGAGUACGACCGCAAGGUUAAAACUCAAAUGAAUUGACGGGGACCCGCACAAGUAGUGGAGCAUGUGGUUUAAUUCGAAGAUACGCGCAGAACCUUACCAACACUUGACAUGUUCGUCGCGACUCUAAGAGAUUAGAGUUUUCGGUUCGGCCGGACGAAACACAGGUGCUGCAUGGCUGUCGUCAGCUCGUGUCGUGAGAUGUUGGGUUAAGUCCCGCAACGAGCGCAACCCUCACUUUUAGUUGCCAUCAUUAAGUUGGGCACUCUGAAAGAACUGCCAGUGAUAAGCUGGAGGAAGGUGGGGAUGACGUCAAGUCCUCAUGGCCCUUACGUGUUGGGCUACACACGUGCUACAAUGGUAUCUACAACAGGAAGCAAGACUGCGAAGUUAAGCAAAUCCCUAAAAGAUACCUCAGUUCGGAUUGCACUCUGCAACUCGAGUGCAUGAAGCUGGAAUUACUAGUAAUCGUGGAUCAGCGUGCCACGGUGAAUGCGUUCCCGGGUCUUGUACACACCGCCCGUCACACCAUGGGAGUUGGUUCUACCUUAAGGCAAGGUUUCAAACCCUUGACCACGGUAUAGUCAGCGACUGGGGUGAAGUCGUAACAAGGUAACC
Molecule: ribosomal RNA, 1435 nt
Filed under: uncultured marine bacterium
Lineage: Bacteria
Description: bacterial SSU rRNA
Rfam family: Bacterial small subunit ribosomal RNA
Source: RNAcentral